This 497-nucleotide ribosomal RNA is filed under the name uncultured bacterium. RNAcentral's name for it is "partial 16S ribosomal RNA". It matches the Rfam family "Bacterial small subunit ribosomal RNA", at positions 28 to 507 of the family's 1533-position model. The record is from RNAcentral.
GAUGAACGCUGGCGGCGUGCCUAAUACAUGCAAGUCGAGCGAACAGACGAGGAGCUUGCUCCUCUGACGUUAGCGGCGGACGGGUGAGUAACACGUGGAUAACCUACCUAUAAGACUGGGAUAACUUCGGGAAACCGGAGCUAAUACCGGAUAAUAUAUUGAACCGCAUGGUUCAAUAGUGAAAGACGGUUUUGCUGUCACUUAUAGAUGGAUCCGCGCCGCAUUAGCUAGUUGGUAAGGUAACGGCUUACCAAGGCGGCGAUGGGUAGCCGACCUGAGAGGGUGAUCGGCCGCACUGGAACUGAGACACGGUCCAGACUCCUACGGGAGGCAGCAGAAGGGAAUAUUAGGCAAUGGGCGGAAACCUGACGGAACAACGCCGCGUGAGAGAUAAAGGUCUUCGGAUCGUAAAACUCUGUUAUUAGGGAAGAACAAAUGUGUAAGUAACUAUGCACGUCUUGACGGUACCUAAUCAGAAAGCCACGGCUAACUACGUG